Molecule: ribosomal RNA, 364 nt
Filed under: uncultured bacterium
Lineage: Bacteria
Description: bacterial SSU rRNA
Rfam family: Bacterial small subunit ribosomal RNA
Source: RNAcentral
AACGAACGCUGGCGGCAGGCCUAACACAUGCAAGUCGAACGCCCCGCAAGGGGAGUGGCGCACGGGUGAGUAACGCGUGGGAACCUGCCCUUCGGUUCGGGGACAACCCAGGGAAACUUGGGCUAAUACCGGAUGAGCUCCGCGAGGAGGAAAGAUUUCUCGCCGGAGGAGGGGCCCGCGUCGGAUUAGGUAGUUGGUGAGGUAACGGCUCACCAAGCCUUCGAUCCGUAGCCGGUCUGAGAGGAUGAUCGGCCACACUGGGACUGAGACACGGCCCAGACUCCUACGGGAGGCAGCAGUAAGGAAUAUUGCGCAAUGGACGAAAGUCUGACGCAGCGACGCCGCGUGGGGGAUGAAGGUCUUC